Molecule: ribosomal RNA, 743 nt
Filed under: Pallidocercospora heimii
Lineage: Eukaryota; Fungi; Ascomycota; Dothideomycetes; Mycosphaerellales; Mycosphaerellaceae
Description: eukaryotic LSU rRNA
Rfam family: Eukaryotic large subunit ribosomal RNA
Source: RNAcentral
AAGCGGCAACAGCUCAAAUUUGAAAUCUGGCGCAAGCCCGAGUUGUAAUUUGUAGAGGAUGCUUCUAGGCAGCGGCCGUUCUAAGUUCCUUGGAACAGGACGUCAUAGAGGGUGAGAAUCCCGUAUGUGACCGGCACGCACCUUUUACGUAGCUCCUUCGACGAGUCGAGUUGUUUGGGAAUGCAGCUCUAAAUGGGAGGUAAAUUUCUUCUAAAGCUAAAUACCGGCUGGAGACCGAUAGCGCACAAGUAGAGUGAUCGAAAGAUGAAAAGCACUUUGGAAAGAGAGUUAAAAAGCACGUGAAAUUGUUGAAAGGGAAGCGCCUGCAACCAGACUUCGUGGCAGUGUUCCGCCGGUCUUCUGACCGGUCUAUUCUCUGUCGCGAGGCCAUCAUCGUCUGGGGCCGCCGGAUAAGACUGGAGGAAUGUAGCUCCCCUCGGGGAGUGUUAUAGCUUCCAGUGAUGCGGCGUGUCUCGGGCGAGGUCCGCGCUUCGGCAAGGAUGAUGGCGUAAUGGUUGUCGGCGGCCCGUCUUGAAACACGGACCAAGGAGUCUAACAUCUAUGCGAGUGUUCGGGUGUCAAACCCCUACGCGUAAUGAAAGUGAACGGAGGUGGGAACUUUUUGUGCACCAUCGACCGAUCCUGAUGUCCUCGGAUGGAUUUGAGUAAGAGCAUAGCUGUUGGGACCCGAAAGAUGGUGAACUAUGCCUGAAUAGGGUGAAGCCAGAGGAAACUCUGGUGGA